Molecule: microRNA precursor, 104 nt
Filed under: Marmota monax (woodchuck)
Lineage: Eukaryota; Metazoa; Chordata; Mammalia; Rodentia; Sciuridae
Source: RNAcentral
GCUCUGAACACUUGGGGAUCUUGUUUAAAGGCAGCGUCUGGUUCCACAGUCUGGAAUGGGGCCUAAGAAUCUGCAUUGCUAACAAACUGCCAAGUGAUGUUGCC